RNAcentral lists this ribosomal RNA (332 nucleotides) under uncultured bacterium. RNAcentral's name for it is "bacterial SSU rRNA". It matches the Rfam family "Bacterial small subunit ribosomal RNA", at positions 568 to 898 of the family's 1533-position model. The record is from RNAcentral.
CGUGUAGGCGGCCUGAUAAGUCAGACGUGAAAGCCCGCGGCUUAACCGCGGGACUGCGUUUGAAACUGACAGGCUUGAGGAUCGGAGAGGGCAGUGGAAUUCCCAGUGUAGCGGUGAAAUGCGUAGAUAUUGGGAGGAACACCAGUGGCGAAGGCGACUGCCUGGACGACACCUGACGCUGAGGCGCGAAAGCUAGGGGAGCAAACGGGAUUAGAUACCCCGGUAGUCCUAGCCGUAAACGAUGGGUACUAGGUGUGGGAGGUAUCGACCCCUUCCGUGCCGCAGUUAACACAAUAAGUACCCCGCCUGGGGAGUACGGCCGCAAGGUUGAA